This 63-nucleotide transfer RNA is filed under the name Ictidomys tridecemlineatus (thirteen-lined ground squirrel). RNAcentral describes it as "Spermophilus tridecemlineatus (thirteen-lined ground squirrel) tRNA". It matches the Rfam family "tRNA", at positions 1 to 62 of the family's 71-position model. From Rfam's summary of the family: Transfer RNA (tRNA) molecules are approximately 80 nucleotides in length. Lineage: Eukaryota; Metazoa; Chordata; Mammalia; Rodentia; Sciuridae. The record is from Rfam by way of RNAcentral.
GGGAAUGUAGCUCAGUGGUAGAGUGUUUGCCUCACAUGCAGAAGGCCCUAAGUUCAAUUCCCA